GGGUGUGUAUGGGACGGAAUGUUGGGGCUAGAGUGAGGCAGCUCAACUGCUAGAGUGAGAGGAGCAAAAAAAUUAAUCUUAAAAUCUUUUUUAAAACUGCUGCUGUGUCCGCAGCGUUUGCUCUACAGGUAUGAUUUUACCCUCAAAACGUAGCCAUCGCUGUCCUCUUUCAUCCAAUGUGUUUACUAUUGUCCUAGGUCUUAUGGUUCUUUCAUAAAUGUCACCAAUGCACAGCCUCCUCCCUCCAACUCUUCCAUAGACUCUAAUGUUAAAAUGGCUCAGAAGGUUCGUUUGAAAAUCAGAAGAGCAUGGUGUCUUUCCACUGUCACCACGUCCAUAUAAUAAACUCCACAGGCAUGAAAACUGAGAAUUCAGUAGACUAGAAGCUGCUGUCGCUCACGGUGAAAGAAUUUUGUCAAUACGACUUUUACUUUUCAUUUGGGAACGAUUUGUUUCGGCCUGACUUUUCUGUUCAUUUUAAGCAGCAAAAGUGAGGCGCAUGUCUGUGUACGUGUGUAUGGAGCCAUUGGGUGCAGUCACUAUAGCAACCAGGCUCACACCUGCCUGCUUAACGAGCUCUGCCUGCCACUGUACCAAGAUUCAUCUUUAGCACUUCUCUUUCAACUGCUGCUGUGUCCACAGUGUUACAGCCAUCAUUUUACCCUCAAAUUGUCGCCAUUAUUGUUCUCUUUCCAACACCGUAUCUUUCAAAGCUCAAGCAUUUAAACUUUUUAAACUGUGUGGAUCAAAGUGGAGGGAUCACAUUUGAGUCAUUCAGUGAUUCAAAGAAUAUGACCUUUUAAUAUUCAUUCAGAUGUUUUCUGACUCUAAAUGUUCUUUUCUCAUUUCUUAGGGUUUUCUAAUUUACAUUUAAAACAUUUUCAGUUUUUUUCCAACUCCUUCUUCUGUGUAACCUUCAGCUUUUAGCAGUUCAGCACCUUUGUUUUCAGGUUAAAUUCGUUUUUUUUUAGUUUUUUUUUAAUCUCAUUCAAUAUUUUUAACUCAAAAUUCAGCAAUUAAUUCAUUUCAGUGCAUACAUUCAGAUUCAAGCAUUCACACUGCAGUUUCUUCAGAAAAUGCACUUUCUAGUUAUUAUAUCAUCUUCCGUACGUUUUUUGGCAUCUAACUCCUUCAAAACCGUUCAACUUAGAAAAACCAUUCAAACACCGUUAGAUUCCUAUUAUUUUGGACAUGACUGCUUCUAUUUUUCUCAUUUCUAACAUUUAUAUUUUUAAUUUUAUUCAACUUUAUUCAACAAAAAUUUCCCAUGUAUUUCAAUGGGGAGACCCUUCAAAUUCUCAUUCAACUUACUCAUUUUUAAACUCUUACUACUUCCACAUACAUUGACAUAGAGCCACCAUUCAAACUUUAAAACGAAGACAAGACAUUCAACUAUUCAACUUGUAUUUAUCUUUUCAAUAUCUAUUAUACUUUUUCUUCAGUUCCAGUUUAAGUUUCAUGAUGUUUUUUCAGCCGUUUCAGAGUUUAUAAUGGGUGUGUAUGGGACGGAAUGUUGGGGCUAGAGUGAGGCAGCUCAACUGCUAGAGUGAGAGGAGCAAAAAAAUUAAUCUUAAAAUCUUUUUUAAAACUGCUGCUGUGUCCGCAGCGUUUGCUCUACAGGUAUGAUUUUACCCUCAAAACGUAGCCAUGGCUGUCCUCUUUCAUCCAAUGUGUUUACUAUUGUCCUAGGUGUUAUGGUUCUUUCAUAAAUGUCACCAAUGCACAGCCUCCUCCCUCCAACUCUUCCAUAGACUCUAAUGUUAAAAUGGCUCAGAAGGUUCGUUUGAAAAUCAGAAGAGCAUGGUGUCUUUACACUGUCACCACGUCCAUAUAAUAAACUCCACAGGCAUGAAAACUG
Astatotilapia calliptera (eastern happy) is the source of this 1858-nucleotide long non-coding RNA. The record is from Ensembl. Lineage: Eukaryota; Metazoa; Chordata; Actinopteri; Cichliformes; Cichlidae.